Elaeis guineensis (African oil palm) is the source of this 687-nucleotide long non-coding RNA. RefSeq lists it as uncharacterized. The record is from RefSeq and is a predicted model, not a curated record. Lineage: Eukaryota; Viridiplantae; Streptophyta; Magnoliopsida; Arecales; Arecaceae.
UACAUAAUCAACUCAUCAACCCAGCACUCAAAAAAGGAAGCACUCGAUCUUAUCAUCUCUAGGGUUUGACUUGGUUGAUAGCAGAAAGUGGGGGAGAAGUGGAGAACACCAACUGGUUUCUUUUUUUUUUUUCUCGGUACAACACCAACUCGAUUCUUUGGCCCAGUUACUCAAUCACGUCAACAGGCUAAAUAUCUUCUCUUAUUAUGGACAUUGCAUCUGAGAAAGUAAUUUCUCAAGAGCUUGCUCGGGAGUCGCUUAUGGCAAUCUCCCAGAGUAUUCCAGAUAUGAACCUUGCUUCAAAUCUGUUGCCCGAGAAAUCGGCUGUCACUGAUGUCCCUGCCAUAAAAGAUUGUGGUGGAGCAAAAGACUACCGAUCAAAGCUGAUCUCAAUUUCCGACAUACAAGCUCCAGAUGUUUACCCUUUACCACCUUUGGUGGAAAACCGUAGUGUUUAGCCAGUAAAGUGUAGUUGCUUGUGAAGAGCUUCAUUGUGAUGUGUUCUUCUUGUAUCUGGAAUAAACCUAAUUGUUUGUUCAAACUCUUCUGAUGAGUAGAACAUUUUACUGAUAACUGCAUGAAUAUGUACAGUUACUAUGUCAUGUGAUGCUGAGACCUGAUCUGGAACAAUUGAAAUGAAAAAGGAAAAACAAGACUUCGGUAAACUAUUUUGAGCUGAUUUUCUUU